AAAUUUGGAAAGACUGCCUUGGUCUUCUACACCAUGGUGAAAGUCAUUCUUACAUUACAUCUCUCUCUCUCUCUUUCUCUAACUUAUUAUUGGUAUUGCAGAAAUUUUCCUAAAGUAAGACUUUGGUGAGGCUUUUCACAUGUCACGCAAACAACACUGUCUGACCCACAUUUUCUGUUUUUCCUUGUGUCUCAGGAGUGUCUCUUUGAAGAUGCGUGUCUUCAGGUGAGUCAGCUGUUGUGGAGUCAUUAUUUUGGAUUUGCUUUGCAUGAGAAAAGAGUGAAAGAGCUGAGAACAAGGGGCAUCGAUGCAGAAGUCUCGUAUCAGUCAGUCACAGACAUAAAACUUAGCAUGAAAUCACAGAGAAUGAAAUUGUGUCUAUUAUUUUGAACAGACGUCCUUUUAUUUGUAUUGUUUUGUUGAGUGUGAUUAAAAGUUUAGAGAAAGAAAAGCAAACCACAAUUUGAUAUAUUUUUAAUUGUUGAAGCAAUAUGAAUCACCAUGGAAAACAAUUGUCCUUUUAACUAUGUAUUAUAUUAUUAUUCAUUGUCACCAGGCAAAAGUUUGCAGGCUAAUAUGUUUUCUUACUUCCCAAACAUUGAGGGCCUAAUCUACUAAGAUCCUUAAUAAUUAGUGCUAAAUUGCAUGUGCAAACUAAAAAAUGGCACAUGCUAUUAGUGGGGGUGUUGUGGGUGAUCUACUAUGACUGUGUGCACUAUUGAUAACAGGUGCAAAAGUGGUGCAGACUGCCCUAUUUAAAUGAGGAUUUUGCGUGUGCUACCGACUGUUUGUGAGAGCAGAGUGGCCGUAAACGAAAAAAUGUAGUUUAAGGCCAUUGAGUUGGAGGUCUUGGGGGAGAAGGCAAAUAAACACACUAGUAAACUCUAGUAGAGACUUCUCAGCAUUGCUAUAAGAGACACAAUUUGAUAGGCCAUCUGUGAAGAGGUGAAUACUGUCAGCAAAACCAAAUGAUCUGCCGUUUAAAUAAAAAGAAGAUGAACAAAAGGAAGAAAAAAUGAAAAACUUUCCCUUGAUAAAACCUCUGCUAACAAACCGGUGGGGGACCGGCAGAAAUCAGCCCUUGGGUCACUUAGCACUUCAAAAAGGCAUUGAUAUUACCAUUACUCUAAUAUUGUUAAUUCUGACAGUCCAAAUAUGUUGACACACACACACACACACACACAGAAGAUUCUCUCUUUGUUUCAUUGCACCUUUGCCUCCUUCUCGCAACUCAAACCACAGCCAUUUGUGCGUAACGCUAUGCCAGUUUGCACCUGCCAUUCCAACGUGCUAAAUAUAGAUGCAAAAACACCACAAUCAGUAUCAGGGUUUGAAAAAUCACAUUGCAGGUGCUACAUGAUACCACUCUCAUCUCCUCCUCCCAGUAUUUUGCACGUUCUGAUAAAAUACAUGCAUUCUGCAUAUUCAUGAAGGGAAACACACUGAAUCAUGGUAAUUCGCUCAUUUGACCGACACAAUCUAUGGUUCACUUGGUAAGUAGAUCAGCUUUGUUCACGCUAUCGAGUUUGCAAAUGUUUCUAAACCCGCAAACCUUUAGUAGAUCAGGCUUUUAAGACUCGACCAAAAAAAUCUCCAGGGCUGUUGAUUUUUACUAUAGUUUUUAUAGAUUUUACUCACAACUCAGUCCCAGCAAAUUUGCAGCUGUAUGCAUGAAGUGGAGGAGUCAAGAGAAAUUCAAUAGUUGAAGAAAAUCAGAGAGCUCAGUGAUGGCUCAUGGGUAGUGUGGGUCACCUAAAAAGCAGAAGGUCAGUAUGUUUUUGAUAGAGUUGAAAGUAUUCAUGAGGGUGAUAUUUAACCACUAACUGCACUGUAUGAGUGUAAAUGAUUUGCCAAAGAGUUGCCUUCUCCAGCACAAAAUUAGGCAACAAUUCUAACAAAAAAAAAGACCAAAAAAAAUAGCGUCUGUCAGGAUGGCAUGUAAUGUCAAGGAAAAAAACAGGAUUUCCUUCCACCCCCAAAGGAAGCUGAGCAAGAGACAACCCCCCUCUCUUCCAACCUUUGCACACACUGACACCACAGUCAGUCAGCAGAGCAGCAGACGACGUGUGAAGCAGUCAUGAGUUUUACUGUUCCUUGUAAAAUAUGCUCUAUAACAUUCUGUUGUUAGUCAUGUCCUCAUAAAGCUCACUUUUACACCAAUACAGUAUGCAUACUGCCGAAAGUUUUUACACAACCUCACACAUUCUCACACCAAUCAAUACACUAAAAUGUCACUGUGUUGGCUACCAAUGACAUUUCUUGGACCGCCUCAUACAAAGGCUCAUAAACCAUAAAUUUCCCCCCCCGAAGAACAAUAGACUACGGGAGGACACACACCAGCACACACACAUACACUAACACCUGUGCGCAAACAUACCAAAGCUCAGGUCAUGGCACGAACUAAUAGGACAAUAAGUCAAUUUUAGUGAUCAUAGUACAUUUUCUCAGAGUUAUGAGGGGCAAUAAAAAAAUCCCUGUCACAUGAGGUCAAAGUUCAGCUCAUGUUGUUCUGAGGCUGCUAACACGCGCUUCACAGUGUUAACUUUAACGACUUUUCCUGAACAGAUGAGCUUUUUAAUUAGCUUAUUUACAAAAUCCAUAAGACCAAGCUCUUCUCAUAUUUUAGACUCCAUACAAAAACAAGGUCAGUUUACAGUUAAAUGAAUAGAGGCCAUCCCUCAUGUCUAAGAAACUAACACAGGAAAAGAAAGGGACCUUACUAAUAAGUGACUGGCUUGAGUGUGCUGUAAUGGCUUUGCCCUCCCUGUCCUCCCAGGGUACUAACUUAUAGUGGUGGAAUAAAGUUUUGAUCCCACUCACUCAUAAAAGGCCAUUAUUGUUGCAUUUAUGUUGUAGCGCUGUCUACAUAGCUAAUUAUAAAUAACAAAAGUCCUUCUUGACAAAGUAAAUAAAUCAGGAUUUAUAGGUGGCACCAAGGGUUGGCAAUCAGAACUCGGGUUGGGAAGGUGAGAGAGAGGUUAGGGACACCCUUGUCUAUUGUGGGUGGAUGUGAUCAUUCAUCCUCUGUAUUGGUGUGAUGUUUUGUGUUUCAAUGUUUACCAUAAUAAUUAUUUUUGUUUGGUUUUAAAAAAAGGCACAGCAGGUAGUGCAUGUACCUCACAGCAAGAAGGUCACCGGAAUGAUCCCGGUAUGAUGAUGAUGAUGUGAAGUUUGCAUGUUCUUCCUGUGCAUGCGUGGGUUCUCUCCGGGCACUCCGGCUUCUUCCCACAGACCAAAACCAUAUUCUUUAAGUUAACUGGUGACUCUAAAUUGUCCUUGGGUAUGAGUGUGAGUAUCACCGGGUUCUCUCUCUCUCUCUCUCUCUCUCUCUCUCUAUGUAGCCCUGCAAUUGACUGCCGACUGAUUCAGGGUGUACCUCACCUCUCGCCCGAUGUCAGCUGGGAUAGGCUCCAGCCCACCCUCGACCCCGAAAGAGAUAAGUGGUACAGAAAAUGGAUGGAUGGAUGAAUGGAUAUUUUUUUUACUCUGUAUCUUUUCAGGUCUCUUGUGUCCUACCACAGACCAGUAUCCCAUAUUACAGACACAUAAAACCAACCCCUAAAGAGUUAACUUGUAAAGUUGACAAAACUAAACUACAACACUGAAAAUUAACUGAAGCUCAACUGAAAUUGUAAAGAAAAAGUACAGUUUUUGUUUGUGCAUUAUACUUUGUGUUUUGAUUUUGCACUGCUAACUUACCUGCACUCUCUACCUUGGAUGACCUGGCUUAGUCAGUGCCAUUGCAUGACCUCUUGACUUCCUUGGGGCAGAAGGAUCAAUCAGUGUCAGAACCAUUAAUUAGCAUACGUUUCCAUUCGGGCACAGACCUACCUGAUCAGGACUUCUGUUUGUCUGUCUGACAAGCUCCAUGAAUAACAUUUUCUAAUUCACCCUACAACAGAGGAAGAGUUCUGCACUAGUGCAUUAAGAACUAAGACCCGGUUUUUCAUAAUCCCUUUAAGAAUCAGGCCUUUGGUGUAAAAGACCGGUGAACCAGCAACUCAAUAAAUAAGGCUUUAACAAAUAUUUGUAGUGGUCACAGUCCAAACAACAUGAUUGAUUCUCCCUCUAAAUUAUUUUGAAUCUUUUCCAAAAUCAGAGGGAGUAUUUUUCUUUCUUUUUUUUUCCAUUGUUGGCAUCUUUUAUGUAAUCUACUAACCCAUCAAGAAAGUUGGCAUCCGUUCCACAGUGCCUCGCUGCACCGGGGCCUUAAAUAUUUGUCACAGUAGAUAUUUAAGCUUUUACUACACAACACAGUGUCACCAAUAUCUGUUGGAGGAAUCAUCAGUUAGUCUGUAUUUGUAAAUCUUACUCGAGCAUUGGCUAAGAAGGAAAUGUUGAUCUUUUUUGGCAAGUUUCGAGUUUUGGCUGAGUUACUUCGGCAGUGACUUGGAAAGGGUUCCAGCAUUUAGACUCAAGCGAAACAUUAAAGGCGUGUGCUAAUGCGUUAGCUCCUGGAUUCAAAUGCUUUCUAUUUUCAUUCAUGAGACAUUUAAUCAGGCAUUUACAAACAAACUGAUACUUUUGAUCUAUAAUACACAGAGAUUAAUAUGUCACCCCUCCUGUGGAUGCAAGUAUUUAUCUACCUUUAUGUUCCUGGAGAUGAAAGCAGGGGGGAGGAGAGUGGAAGAAAGGAGGAGAGGAGAGGAAAUGUUAUGCCUUGUCACGGAUGAUGUAAUUCAGCCCCAGUUAGGCAACCCUGUGCUCUGUGAGAAAUCUGGGAAAUAGCACAACAAAAACCUUAACACGCAUGCACAGAUGCACUAACAGAGCCGUAAGGAUGAGAUGUAAUUUUAUUUCAAGAUUCAAAUCGGAAAGAGUCCAAAUAAAUCCAAUAAAAUAUGUCCCACUCUAUUACUCAGAGUGGAAGCAGAGAGGCCACAUCGGCAUUACAGGGCGUACACACAAAGGCUGAAAUACAAAUACAACACUACAGGCACACACACACACACACACACACACACACACACACACACACACACACACACACACACACACACACACACACACACACACACACACACACACACACACGCAGGGGAUGACAGAAUGGCCCUGGAGCUGUCAUGGGAGAGUGGGCUGUCAUUUGGAGAAGGGAGCCAAGGGACCAGGGAAAGGGUUAGAGUAAGAAAAAAGGUGAAUGGCAGGCAGGGUAAAGAGCAAGAAAUUUAAAACAAGUGAUUGAACUGUACACAUAAAACGGUAUAUUUUCAUAUUAAAAUAUAUAUGUAUACUGUUUCGCUGGAACAAUUUUUUCUUACACUUUAUGGGAGUGGCAUAGAGGGGAAUCUGUUAUUGUAGUUUAAGGAAGAUCAAAAGGAAAAGGGUGACGGGGGAGCAUGAGAGAUCAAGUUGGGAACGAACGCACAAUUGAGGUGGAAAGGGAUGUCUCAGCACGACAUAUACCCACUGAUAUAUUCACUUGAGGCUAUUGGAUAUUCAGUUUGAUGUAUUAGUGUACCGCUGUGCCACAGAAGUUAUAUAUUGACAUCCUCAAGAGCGUGGAAUGAAAAACUAAUUGCUGACUGUCCCCAACAGGGAAACAAUAUAGGCUUUUUUGUCACAGAAAAGUAACUGAGAAUCGAUGUAGUGCUUCUCAUGUUUCAUAAUACUGCAUCCUUUUACCUCAACAACAAUGCAGUGAAAAGGCUUUUUUACUGAGCUAUGUAAACUUUAGUAUAUAAGAGGUUUAAUUUAUGAAAAGUCAGUAUGUUUUUGCUUUAUUUUUUCUGCCUCAAUCAAUCACCCCCUUUCUGCAUUUUCCACUCACCAUGUCCAAAAAAAUCACAGCAGAUAACUGCUCACAAAUCUGGCUCUAAUUUCAGGGCUCUAUUUUUGUGCCUCGCCAGCUGCAUGGUGCAGGUGCGGCGUAAGUCAGGUCCGCCGCACCGAUAAGGCGUUCCCAAGCAUAAUAAGGUAUUUUGGUGAGCGGCACAGCCCAGCUUAAGUAUCCCCCCCUCCCUAACUCAGCUCCUCCCAGCGGCGUUAGUAGUAGAGAGGGAGUAGAGAAGACGUUGAGUGGGUUUAACACAGCCAAGACCUGUUUUCACCAAUCACAUCAGCUCCUCUCCUCACCUUUAAAUCUGCCACCGGCGAGGCGUAUUACAAUUUUCAUGCAGUAGUCGAAGAGAUCAAGAGGCGCACCCGCCAGCGGGCACAAAAAUAGAGCCCUUAGCCUUUACCUGUUUGAUACCAUGAUAUAAUUAAAACAAAUUUUAAAAAAUAAAUAAAAAUGGAUCAAAUAUUUGUUCAGUCAUUGGUCAUUAGGUGCCCAAUAAAAACCACUGUCCUUGGUGCAGCAACCCUGGGAUUCAACCCAGACCCUCUGCUCUUUCUCAGCACCCUAAACUCUGGCCUAUCAAACCAGGCUAAAAUACAAGAAAUAGAUUUAAAAUGAACAACAAAAUCAAUGACAACACUAAUAAUAAUUCAAUAAAACUAUUACUUUUUCCUGUGACACAAUGAAAAUAAAAUUUUACAAAAAUAAAGAACACUAAUAUCAAUGCACUACUAAUGGCAGAUCAGUUGUCAACACAUUGUUUUUAUCCCAAUGUAUUUAUUUAUCUUUAUUUUGAAAAUAUUUUUGCUCAGCUACUGCCCCUGCAAAUUGUCAGCCAACAUAUCUCAGCAGUGCUGGGCUACACGAUAACUUAAAAAAAAGUUACACACUCUGUGGAUCAUAUUAUGCAUAAGUGUAAAUCAAACUCUCAAUUUGUCUUUAACUACGUGUAAUUAAGCUUACAUAGUUAACGGACUUCAAAGAGAUUCAUUGGGUUCAUCCUGACAACUCAGUGAACUAAUAUUAAUGGGCUACAGCUGUGAAAAUCUGCUGCCUAAAUUUGUCAUUUCAUCCAGGAGGACAGACAGUUGCCAGCUUCAGUUAAAUUAAAUGAGGAGGAAACGAUCCUCGUGUUUGACACUGAAUGUUGCCUGACUGGGAAUAUCACUUUGAGUCAUCAUGAAAUUAAUAUCAGGACCAGCCACAGCUUAGACUUUACUUUUCAAUAAAUCCUGAACUUCAUCAUUAGUCCUGACUCUAAAAACUGGGAAUUUAAUUGCAGGUGGAUAUGGUCUGUGUAACCUAAAACUAAGUCUUGAUCUAGUAACACAGAAAUUUAAGAGCCUUUGCACUAUUGCACUUUUUUUUUUUCAUGCGCAUGUUUUGCCUGUUUCUGUGGUUACACAACCUCUUAAAAACCCAAACUGCCAUGAACUCGAAUUACUUAAACUUGAAAGUGGUAACUCCAGGCUAUCUGGUAACAUUUUUAACAGUCUCCUGUUGUAGUGAAAGCGACAUUAACCAGGGUCUGAUAGGGUUCUUACCUUUUUAUAGAGCACUGAGUUGCAUAUCUGUCAGUUUGAGAGAGCUGAUCUUCAGCUGGAGUUGCAGAAAUCAAAGGCCAGGGAGAAAAACUGCAAACUGCAAAAGCAUGUCUCUGAUCUCAAAAUAUGUGCUUGUCUGAACUGUCUGUGUCAGCUUCAGUGUGUUUCGGUAUACAAAAGUAGUUAUUGUAUUGACAAAAGCAUGCAUGUGUCAACUACUGCAUAUUUUAGCCUAUGGUAACGUAAGAAUCUUUAAUAUACCAGCUGUGUUAAAAUUGAUUCUGAUUGGUCUAAACCUACUAAUAACAAUAAUCAAAUCUCUGUUAGCAGAGGAUUCCCAGGGACAACCUGAUCCCUCACAUCCUAUCAGCGUCACAUCCAUCUGUUAUUGGGAAAAGUGGAGCAACAUCCUGUCCUGCAAUUCACAUAAUGGCUACAGAGCUGGUGAGUGCUUACUAAUAUGACAUGUGAGACUGACUGUCUCACAUGGCAGGAUGUUUCAAAAGGGAGAACUUCAAAAGAAUUCAGAGAGGGAUCAGACAAACAUUGUGUGUUAUCACAUUCAUGAGAGCCUAAUCAGUUCACCAACACAUAUGAACCAGUAGGCAUGCACUGUUGCCAAGGAGUAAACUCUAUAAAAUCGGCUGGAUUAGUACUAGCCUUACAUGAUCACCGGUGGUGUGUUGUCUCAUAGGCAUUUCGGUCAUUCAAGUAUAAUGUGUGCUUUAAAAUAAUUUAUUUAUAUGUGUUGUACUUAAAAAAUAAUUGUAAAAAGGUUAAUGUCUAUUUAGAAGAUUUUAUUUUGACAGUUAAAUUACUGAUGAUAUCACUUCCUCACGUGUGUUUGUAGUUUCUUGUGUGGACUGAGAGUGAGGCAGACAUAAGAAACACAUGGUGAAGACACAUAAACAGUGACAGUUGUUAAAAAAUAUAUAUAUAUUUUUUUUUUAUUUGUGAUUAAGCAAGGACAUUUCGCCAUGUUUUUAAAAAAAAAACAAAAACAUUUUGCUGAUGUUAUUUGCUAUCACUCAAUGUGCCUGUAAUUAUGUUAAUUCAUAUUUUACCUGAUCAUUAUAGAGUUCAUUUUAAGAUUCUUUUAUUUGUUUUUAAAUCUUUAAAUGGUCUGGCUCCAUCUUAACUCUUUGAGCUUCUCCACCCCUACACCCCUGCUCGGUGCCUCAGGUCAGCUGAUCAGCUGCUCCUGGAGGUCAUACAAAUACAGUUGAGUUGAGUUUAAAAUGCAAUAUUUGCUGUAUUUACAGUCUUCACAACAUCACUUAAGACUUCUGAUUAAAAGGUUGACUCCACUGCGACUCAUGUUUUCAUUGACAAAGGUUAAACUCAGUGUAGAAUCAGAGUUGAAACACUCUGUAACACUCACUUCAGCUGGGUUUAACUAUGUUGCACACUACAGCCAAUCAACACUGGCUGUAUUGUGACUUUAACUUGCCAGUUGUGAGUUUAACCUCAUCAGUGCUUUACACCUCUGCACCAACAAUCAUCUCUUUAUUGGCCACAAUUGUUCACAGGUUUGCAGCUACAGCUAAAUCGGCCUGUAGAUACUGCCUCUUUCUCCUCAAAUGACAAUGAUUGGUCUGGUCAUUCUCUGACAGGGAGCAAGUUUAUCAGUCUAAAAAAUAGACUGUGUUAACCUUAGACAGCUUGGCUCUGCCUUCUGUCAUUAUUUGACGGAAUUUGAAGCAAAAUUGCUCUCAGUUUUUCUGGGAUUUUUCUCCACUUGCAGGAACCACCACUAGCGCAGUAGCGUUCUAUGCAUUUGGCAGGAGAGUCGAUGUGGCACUUUGCUCAAACAGCAUAUCCCCCGGAUAGUCUAUGCAAACUUUUUGCGCCCAUAGGCUGUAUCAAGUGUCAAUCAUAAAAAACAUGAACCCCUAAUAACUGAAAAAUGGAGCUGCACAGAAAAAAGAGGACUUGAGCAAAAACCAGUCUUACAAUAACUACAUGUCAACAUCGCAACCAGAACAAGAAAAUCUACCAUGGCUAAGAGUCUGGGAGAAAAAGGGACACAAAAGACCAAGUGAAAAAUAUGGAGAUGCCUUUUGGAGUUUUUCUAAAGACUGACCUUUGAUUAGUCUCUGGAGCUCUUCACCUCUUGACAUCCACUAAAAUUUCUACAUUUUGUUUUCAUUGUUAUUUGCAAAAUUAAGGUAGAAAGACUUAUUGUCCACUGCAGCAAAGGGGACUGAAAUGCAAAUGUGGGUUUCUUUUGAAGGAGGAGAACAACAUAUUGAACUGCAUGGUUUGGAUAUGCACCAUAUGUGUAUUUUCUUUGAUAGACAGACGAAAAAACUGCGAUGUGUAUUAAAUACAAAAGCAGUAAAACCCAAGGGGGUAUUUGGCCAAAUGAGGACCUAUUUGUUCUGUUGACAAGACUGAAGCUGCUCAACCAGCCGAAACCUUGAUACAGCAGACAGUUGUAUGGACAUGGUUUGACAGCCCAGACCUGAUGUUGACAAGAAGAAUGAGAGGAAAGACCAGAGGAGACAAAAAAGGCACACAGAAGAAAGAACAAAGUAUUCAAGAACUGUAAGGUUACCAGCUGUGACAUGACUGCAUAUGAACAGGGAGAUGCAGAGGCCAGCGAGAGACAGAGGUCUACAUGAAAUUCAAGACAUGCAGGCAAAAGGAAAAGACAACUGACAUAGAGUAUGUUGUCUGACAAGCAGGGAGGAAUGUAACUAGAUGACUGCUCCUUCCAGCCAUUAGUUUGGGGAAAUCACUGCAACCUCCUAACCUCCAGCUGUCCUUUUGUCUUAUUUCAUUUCCUUCCAGUCUCUUCUUGUCUUUUCAUCCUCCCAUCACCGCCUCUCUCUUUUUCCUUUGUCUUAUUUUUCCUCAUAUCAUUGUCCCGCAAAUCUUGUUUUUGAAGAUUUUGAGAUGACUUUGCUCUGCUUAUUCAUCAGUGCCGUCCUUGAGUGAACUGCACAUGCGACCUGACAGCUAGUUAGAGACUCUGAAACACGCACACAUGCGCACAUCCACUCACACUCGUGAUUCAGAUAUACAUUGAUAAACAAGGGCAAAAAGAGUCCAGCACACACGUGUACGCACACACACACACGGACAUGAACACACACACAGCCAGCAGGAAACAAAGGAGACGGAUGAUAAAUGACAUAAGUAGUAAAAGAAAAGCUCUUGUGAAUGUCAGAAGAUGUUGUGCAGAGGACAGAGUGACCCGUCCUUGAAUCCUUUCAUAAUUAAUGCUGGUGACAUCAUUUUACUGUCCCUGAGUUCAGUUCAGACCACACGAGUCCACGAGUACCUAAAUACAUGGAUGACUGUGUCCAUCUGCACUACUGAGUCCCAAUUAACAUUUAUAAUUGUAUUUAUUUGUGCAUAUGUGUCCUUCUUAUCAUGGUGUGUGAUUCACUCCUUCAAGCUCCUGCAAUAUUGUGACCACAAAUUCUGACCAUUUAAGUUGAGACUAAAAGAAGAGCUCUGGAUUCAAUUAAACGGAUAUUAGCAGAGUCGAGCUCUCUCAAGCAAAGCAACACAUAUCCUUGUAUUCACUGUUAUAUACAGUGCAAGGAUAUAUUUAUAUUUCUUACAACUAAUAAAUCCAGGUCUCUUCAUUCAUUGUCUGUGACAACUGAGAUAUUUGUCCAAAUAUCAUCUGUGCAUUUCUCUGUAUUUGUUUCAUCAUAAAACAGCUUCAAACUUCUCUUUGAAGUCCUUGGUUGAUGUUAGUAACCUAUUAAUUACAUGGUAGUUCACUUUGUAAUUUUGGUAAAUACUUGGUAAUUACUUAAUUGGCAAUUUACCACCACAUAGUUACCAUAUCAAUACUUUAUAAUUACUCAGUAAUUACUUCUUAUUACCUGACUGUUACCAGGUACUUCUUAAGAAAUUACAUUUAUAAUUAUUACACACCCAAGACACUCGCUUAACCAGUUUUCACAAACAUUGGAUUUCUAUUAAUUUUUCUAUAUAUUUCAAGGAUCAGUCUAUGCUUCUAAAAAAAUGCACAUUUUUUACCAUGCAUAUUAUAGAAAUGACAAAGGAGAGAGAGAGAACGAAAGCUGUGCAUUUCAAAGAAAAAAAUUGUGACAUCUCUUCAAAUUCUUUAACCAUGAGUGCCAGGUCAGGAUAAUCAAUUUUUAUCAUAAAUAGUAUUUAUCUUAUUUAUAUUACUAAUUAUUAUUAUUAUUAUUAUUAUUAUUAUUAUUAUUAUUAUUAUUAUUAUUAUUUUUAUAUACUGUAUAAAAUGUAUUUAAAAUUACAAGAAUAGAGAAAAAAAUACAUUCAACAUAUCAAAUUAUUUCCUUGCUUAUUUUUUGGUUUGACAUUAUUCCAACAACACAGACCAUUAUAGCCCUGAACUAUUGAAAUGGUGAGAAUGAAGCAGAGGAUUUGUAGACAUCAUUCUUUGACUAAAAACUUGUAGGAAACUAAGUUAAAGGAUGUUUAAAAGCCAAAAAAAAGUAUAUGUCAAUUAGCAACCCUAUGAGGUGGGCAUUGGGUAAGCCUGACUGCCUCAGCCUAUUUGACCUGACCUGGCUUAGCCUUUGAGUGUUGUACAUGCUGCAAUCUCCACUGUUGAAAUAUGAAGCUAAUUUGGAAGUUUAAAACUGCUUUUUGUAAGUGUCCACCUUUAAAAGCAAAGGAAACCACACUGGGUUAAAACGUCCAUUUCUCUAUCAGAAAAUAAUAACUCACUUUAUCUGGUAUAGGAUAUUAUUAAAUCCUCUAUACCUACAGUAUAUACUGAAUCACAACAACUGCAUAGGGGGAAGUCUGUUUAUGUCAAGACCAUGAUUUAUGCACACUGAACGUAUAUUAAUAUGGAUUCCUCUGUCCUCUCCCAGCCUCUAUUGCAGUGCCAAAAUACUGCCUCUUUGGUCUCAAACAUAUUGCACUGGUAAAGCCAAAAACACAGAGGUGGUCUGGCUGGGUGAGACAUGACAAGGAUGCCACACCCACCCUGCUAAUAAAAUAUAUACUUGACUGACUGAUAAUAUAUCAAAGGUCCCUCAAGUCAGAAUAACUCACAUUAGACCACUUUAAAUGGACUGUAAGCGUUAUUUCAUCACAUCACAUCACAGUCACCUUUAUACACCAAUGGCUGGCACUAAUACUGGUGUCCAUCAAAAUUAACCAAUCCCAUUCACACACUACAGUAUAUUCAUUGGGGGUAGUUUUGGGGAUUGAUGUCUGUUUCAAGGACAGUUCAGCAUUUGGACUGCAGGACCGGGAAAAGAACUGGUAACCUUUUGACUGAGACAUGACCGACUCUACCACACGGCUACAGAAUGGCGGCUAAAGGCCAUCAGUGCCGGUCGGCACUGAUUGUUUUCCAUACAAGUUAAUGUGUCAAAUUCCACUGGCUUCUUUCUGGCCCCCUGCAGUUCAGCGGUCUUCAUAGCCCAUCUUCAUAGUGACAACUCGUUAACAUGCAAUUGCAUGUGAAUUUGCAGGUUCUUUCGAGUCCUUGUGAUUCCUGCUGUCUAAAAUUUGCCACGAAAUUUGCCUCACCAACGCAUCUAGUACGAUUUGGCAGAUGGCAUGAUCGCUGCCGUUCUGCAUGCAGUUGAAUUUGGGUGUUACUCUUGUAGUCCACUAAAGAAUGUACCAAGAGCUCAGAUUUGUCAACAGAGACGUCAAUUGGGCCCCUUUUAACAUCAAAUGUCUAAUCAAACCCUUAACAUACAAAUUUGGGUUUCAAAGACUAGCAGAAAGCAUGUCUUGAAAAGGUCUUGAGUCACUCAGGAUAAUUGUUGUUCGUUACGUUUUAUUUGAAAUAGUUUAUAGCUAUGAAGACAUAGGUAAAAUUAAGGGCGCAAUAGUCUUGCUAGCACACAGCUAGCAAGACUAUUGCCUCAACUCUGCCUCUGCCUAUUUCUACAUUAGCUGUAAGCAAGUUGGAGCAGCCAUUUCCAACCUGGCGCCAUUCCUGGGCAAUGUCUCUGAGACUCUAACAAGGAUUUCUACAGAAAAAUGCUGCACAGACAGAAAAGAGGAGUCACAUGACAGAGCUAUCUGGACUGUACCUUGCAACACAGCGAUUUCAUGUUAGAGCCUCUUCAAUUGUUCUGUCUGGUCAAUAUAGUCUGUCUUCUUGUGCUUUUUAAUCCUGUACUUUUGGUUUGUAGAUUGUGUCAUUUCAAGACUUAAAAAUAGGUCUUCUUCUAUUGAGAUCGCGUCAAAUUGAAUUCUCUCAUGUAUCCUAUCCUGUUGUAUCAUAUAAUCUCACGUUGUGUAACAAAUCCAUCUUUUAUCCAUACUUUUAGUUGUGUCUGCUCAACAUUUACACCAAAUGACCAACAAGAUAAAAUGGCCAUGUAUUUUCCAGGUCCAUAAAUCAGUUAUGGGGAUGAAAAUAAUGGCUGCAUCUGACAGUGACUCAUAAACAUGAAUUCAUUCUGGCAUUGUGACUCUAUCCCCUAGUGCAAUGUAUUAAUAACAAACACACACACAUACAAGCACCCCCACAUAUACACACACAAGCUGGCAUUCUGACUCCAUCCCUGGGCACAGCACAUAAAUCUUCCCUAAUAACAGCGGUGGCAUUUCAGCAACAAUAGGGAUUACACACAACCUCUGUCGAAUGGUCUACCAGCCAGAACACACACAGAUACUGACACAGAAACACAUACACACUCUCAAGAUACACAAUAUGCUGCAAGUUUCUCAAGUUUCACCAGUGAAAGUGGGAGGCAGACAGAAAGAGAGAGAGAGAGAGAGAGAGAGAGAAAGAGACAAGUAGAAAGUGAGAGAAAAAAGCUCCCUUUGAUUUCUCUUGUUUUGUCAGACUAUAUUCACACGGUGAAGCCUCACAUUGGCUUUACCUGCUGGGUUUUUACUUUGUUCCAGUGCAAUCAAAUGUGAUGAUCCAUUUUAAAUUUACAUAAACACUAAAUAUCCGUGUAAAGAGUUAUAUAAAUAAGCGAGAACAGAAGUAGAUCUAGCUUUGAGGAAAAUACACUUCAUCAGAAAUGUCCAGAUGUGAUAUGUCUAUCUAUCUGCCCCUUUUGUUGGUGUCUCUAAAACGCUAAAUUAAAAAAGUACAGAAAAAAAUCUGUUGGUGUAGAAUAAUCAACAGGUUGGAGGUUCUUGAUAAAGAGAAAUAAUGUCAGUUAGGAGCCAAACAAAACAAAAACAACAAAAAUGGGAAUGUAUACUGUACAGCUGUACCCAUAGACUGUAUAUAGAAUGGACAUUGUCUGCCUCCUUACUGGAUGAAGCCACCCCGAGAACAGCACCCUCUGGUGACUGGUUGCAGUAUAGGUCAUUAAUCCCGCCUCCUCCAGCCAACUUAAUGGAGCUGUGGACAAACUUUGUUUAUCAAUUACACAGAAUGUAAAAUUUUCUCCCCCCUGGUUGUGAUGUUGACAUAUGGUAUUGUAAAGCCAAGUUGUCCAUAGUAUAUACAGUGUAUAGCUGUACCCAGAAGGGAUGAGUCCCAGCCUUAACAUGCUUCCUGGUCUAGGUCUUCCUGACUUCUUUCAAACAUCUUGAGUCAAACUCUUCUCUUUACAUUCUAACUUUUCUUUCCUCUCUCUCUUUCAAAGGGGGUUUUACAGAGGAAGUUGUAGAGUGUAAGGCCAAAAAACCAACUGGGAUGAAUCCUUUUCAGGCUUCUUGACCUAGCUUUGCCUUCUCCUGCCUUCUUUCUAACAUCUUUCUCCAUAUUUCUUCCUGUAUUUUGGUGUGCGGGUAUGGUGGUAGAUGAAAGCAAGUACAGGGGAGAUUGAUACUGGAAAACAGAUGAGGAUCCUUUAUUUUUAUCUAAACUAAAACCACUAUCAGUACUCGGUAAAUAUCAAAGCCUUUGUUGCAACCACAAACAUAUUCUCUAUUAUUUGGUGGAAAGAUAUGACUCAUGUUUACAGGGAUAAGGAAACAGAUUAUCGUGUUUUAGUUUGGAAAAUUUUGGCAUUAGUGGUUUUAAUCACAUACUUUAGUCUCAUUAAAACGGAUGUUUGGAAGUUAACCAGGUUGCAAUUUUAAAUGAAAGAGCUAUUUUGAAUUGAUGAGAAAAAAUUAAUUUCUCUUUCAAAUAUCUCUUCAACAGUUUUUUUUUCUAACCCAACCUUGGAUAAACCUCAUGGAAACCUUGAGAAUUGACUGCAGUAUUGACAAGCCUCAACACGAUUGACUUUAUUUGGUUUUGAAUCACGCGUCCAGGGACCGUAAUACAACCAGGUUUCAAUCCAGAUCCUCAUUCUAUGAUGGUGACAGAGCUAACGGUUAAUUCUCCCCAAGGUGUUGAGGGUCUCACUUAUUGAAAUAUCAGCGUACCAUUGUGUUCACUGGAUAUACCAUGGGGGUUGUUUCUGGUAUUUAUAACCCUAUUGGAAAAAAAGUUGAAGAAUUGUUUCACCCUUCAGGAAUCAGAAAUCCAAAGUACAAUUUUACUAUCAUGAAUUGUAGUUGUGACCUAAGUUAGGGAGACAAAACCGAGAUCAUGGAGAAAUUUAUUUUUUCCUGAGCCAAUCUCAGUCAACAACUCACUGCAGAUCUCGGUCUGUAUUCUUUUGGAUUGACAUUUUACAAACGAUACCUUAAGAAAAUAACUUAAUUAGACAUUUAUCUUCUGACAGAAAUAUACCAUGAAAUAUUCUGUACAACCAUUCUACCAUAUUCAAGUCAUUUUCUCAGUGAUUUUCUAGCUGUUUGUGUGUCCUGCAACAAGCAAGAUUUCCCUCUAGUUCUACCAGAAAUGUGUAGAUUUAAGAGUACAAGAUCCUCAAACAGCUGAGACCUCUUCAUUUAUCAUGCUGCAUUCUAGUUGUACUUCAAAGUCGGAAUUUCCAAGCUCCGAGUCAAGAAUUUAGACGAUCCUCACCAACCCCAACUUGACAAUAACGUCAUUAUCCACGAUGGCAGUGCAAUGCAUCAACCGUACAGAGUAACAGUGAAGGCUCUCGUAAUGUAUUAUUUAUUAGCGCUUCUGUUUUGUUUUUGGGAAAUUAAAUAAGUGGUAUAUGUUGUACUGCCCAACGUCCAACUGUGAACACGGUGCUAUGGUGUUUAUAAGAGUAAAUACUGUGUUAUGCGUUGUUUACAACUAGUAAAGCUAACAGCAAUGAACAACAGCUGACAACGGCUAACAGUAGGCGUCCAUUUUGGUUUUCCGACUUGUAAACUGGAACACCAUCAACUCGGGUGUAACAUCAUUCCUAGCUCCGACUUCUGAGGUAACUGAAACGCAGCAUUAGUCCAUGAGAACAUUUCUCCAGCAGAGUUCAGCUCGUUGAUAACAGCACUUUAGUGAAAACAGAGGAGCAGGCAGGACUCUAUCUUCAAAUCAGCCAAAUUCAUCUGAGGAAUCAGGGUGAUAAAAACCACAACAGCACAUUUGAUGCCCACUGCACAGUCAGAGCUGAGAUAAUAACCCAAGACCUGUUCAAAGAUGUUUUCCUCUUGUCAACCUGUCCAGCUGACAUGUUUAAAACAAACUGUUAAGCCGCUGACUGUGCCAAAUGUAUGUUCAGAAAGGUGUGCUGUCCUCAGAUGCCCCUGCCGUAUCCGCUGCGGUAACAAUGUGUCCUGCACUAAUGCACUAAUUAGGAACUGUGACGGGUAAAUUUCUAAAGCAUCACCUCAAAUAAUGGAAAUUUGUCGGGUAGUUUGUGGAAGUAGUCACAUUAUUCAUCACUGUCACACUAUCUCAAUCCCCAUCUGGAGGAGUUUAGAAAUGAAUAUAAACUCCUCUGUGCUGCAACAACUUGAUACUAACUUCUAAUUUACUGAAUCCUGUUUUACACCCCAAACUGCUGAUGACAGAGUUUGGAUAAUUGCAACCUAAUUAAGUAUGCUUAAGAGAAUUAUGUGUGUUUCAAUGAUUAUAUGUGUCUUUUUUAAAGAUGCUUACUGUUGUUGCCAUUAGCAGAGGACUAUGUACUGGGGCUGCCCAUAAAUCAAAUAAUUUAAGAGGAGAGGUAAAGUCAUGACUAACAUCAGACAACAAUUAAAGGAGGACAUGUUUAUUGGUUUAUCAUAUAUUGUUCCUAUUUGUGGUAAUGAUUGUUCGGACAAAUUGCAUGCUACAUUACUGCCUAAUAUUGCUGCUUCAGUGGAUAGUCGGUAAUUACAGCAUACUAAUGAUUACAGUUUGUAAUGAUUUGCAUGCCAUUAUGUUGACUUUAUAGGAAAAUAAUCAGGUGUUGAAGCCAUAAACCUCCUAACCUACUGCUGAGCCUGAAAGUCUUUAAACUGCUGUUUCUAAUUGAUCUGUCAUAAGAGCACUUACAAUGAGAUGCCUCAAUUUACAAAACCUGUGACAGCCAGAGGUGCCUUUCUGUCAUUUUUUAAAUGUGCGUGGCUCGGUACCUUGAGAUGGAGAUGCACAAGAGUGUCACUGCAGCCCAGAAGAGGAGUGAUUUCCACAUACCCUGACUGAAGACUCUCCUCUAUAAUUACAGCUAUUGAUAAGAAGCAGCAAGCACUUACUCAUAAUUACUGGUCUCUCAGCUAGGUAACAGCUGCUGGCCAGACAAUGGUGGAAUUUUGGAAUCAGAUUUUUAUUACCCUGAAACUGAGAAAAGAAAACUAUAGGAUACAAACCAAUGCAUGGAGGAAAAGAGAGAGGAGGGCUCGUGCAGAGAGAGUAUUGGUAGACAGACUGUGCAGGGUUCAUUUGUGGCAUUGGUCUGACACGGUCAUUAUAAUGAUUCUGCCUAUGCACACUUUGACUUUCUUUGCUAACAAGUUCAUGCCUGUUGCAUAAAAGUAACUUGGUUGAUUUAGUAUGUUUAUCUGUGUUUUGCAGGGUACACAGUGCACACCAUGACUCCAGUUAGGGACUGUAGUUGGAACAGAUACCUGUUGUCUUCAGUCACCAGAUUAAAGUUAGAGCUGUCAGAUCUGUAGCCCAACUGUCCUGGAUUUCAGAGCUGCGGGGAGCAUUUGAACCUUGUUAUGACUGACUAGAAUUAAAGCCAAAAGAACUUCAUGUGACUUUAAACAACUCAGUGGCAACUGUCUAUUAUACAUCCAGUCCAAAUCUGUGCUAACCAAGAAAUAAGCAGAGGAAAAGUAACCGUGUUGCACCCUGGUUUGCUGGUUCACUGUAGGCCUUGCUCUAAUACCAAAACAAAAAACAGCAUUGGAUGCAUACACAUAAUGAACGUUUUGUUUACUGUGAUGUAAAACUGAAAACGAGGCCAAUAUUUAGACUUAACCAUGCUUUGUGUUGUGUAACAGGCUGCUGCUCACCCUGUUGGGAUUUCAAACCACGAUUACAACUUCGUCACAAUACAUCAUUCCCUGCAUACUCUUACAUGCAGGGAAUGAUAAAUGAAAAAUACUGAGUGUUUACUUUUAUUUGUUCAGCUUCCUUAACUAAAAUUGAGAAUUACAAAGCUAUAAGAAGAGGCAGGUUUUCAUUAUGCUUCUUCAAACUAUUUUGUACUGUAUAAAAGAUUCUACACAAGAUGGCCGGGCGGGUUAACGCACCCCAUGUAUGGGGACCACAGUACCCACAGCGGUCACAGGUUCAAGUCAGGCUCGACCAUGUGCUACAUGUCCUCCCCACUUUCUCUCUAUCUCCCCACAUUUCACUUUGUCCUAUCAAUUAAAGGCAAAAAUGUGCCCCCCCAAAAAAAUAAAAAUAAAAAUAAAUAAAUAAAUAAUAAAAUAAAAUAAAAAAAAUAAUACUACAGUUUCUACACAAAGGAUACUGCUGAGAAAAGACGGUAAAAUGAGAACAUUCAGUAAAGUUGUGGAUGCUGAAGCCUGGCAGAGUUGAUAGAGUAGAGCUUAUGAAAACAGGGAAAACACACUCUCCAGGUAACUCCGAACUGUCUUAAUCAACAGUUACCUGUUGACAGGUUGAACAUCACUGAUAAGGCAGCUGUUACUUUCUGGUAAAGCAACUCUCAAUCGGAGAGUUGGUGGUUAUAUCCAUAUAGUGUCCUUGGCUGUGACACUAGAGCCAAAAUAACACCCUAUAUCCCAGCACCAGAGUAUAAAUAAGUAAAAAAGCGGAAACAUUACAAACAUAUGCAGGCCAUUUAUAAUCAGAUUCCAUUGGCUUAAAUAAAUUGAUGUCAGAAGGAUGUGUGAACCUUCAAUUAUCCGUGUAGGUCUGCUAUGAUACCUGCAAUCCACUGUGAAAAGUAGUUGUAUUUAUUGUGAAGUUUUUGAAUUUCACCCAUGCUGCCCUUGUUAUUUUAAUAUUAUUUUAAUCCAAGAGAUGACUGACCACUACUGAGCCACAGUUUCCUCCCUUGGUUUAAUAAUUCAGCCCAGCUAAUCCCACAAUGCAAUUUGCUUUGGUGUCCUUGCUGAUCUAAAGUAUAGGUGUAGUAUUACAUACAGGUUGAAAUGAAAAAGCAGAGGAAUAUUCCUCACGACAACUCAUUCAUGUAGCAUGCCAUCCUGAUACAGAUUCCAGGUUAAAAAUAUAGAUAAAUAACAUGCAUGCUUAUGGGAUAAUAACUGUUUUCAUAUAAGAAAGCACAGAGGUGUUCCUUGUCGUUUUUGCUAUUGGAUUUUUUUUUUCUUAGUUAUGGUCCUGUCUUUAUGUCUAAAAAAAUCUAUAAAUAAACUGGCUGGGGGAGAGAAUCCACAGGCAGGUAAGGUUGUUGUUGGUCAGCCACAUGUUACCCACUAUAGUUCUGGCACGGGCAGCUGACACCUGGAAGUCCUACAUGGUACUAUUCCUAGGGUUGUAUUGCUGUGACAGUACAAGGUAUAAAAAAAUAUAUGAAUAAAAAUGCAUGAAGUCGGUGAAAACUUUUGGAGCAUAUAUCAGAUGGAAAACAAAACCCACACUGCCCCCCUCAACUUGUUCAGUGUGCUACAGAAAGGCCUUGCAUGUAUUCUGAUACAUAGUAAAGGAAAAUAUCAUGGAUUUUGCAAGUCAGAAAGCUCACUAAUUACACUUCCUCUUACUAAUGCUAACAAAAACAUAUAUAAAUGUAUACAGUGCAUCUUUUGAGUCUGUCUCUUUUUGGUCUCAAAUUAACAUUUAGAGAAACAGCUACCGGACUGUGUUUUGUUUUGACAAAGAUGAUUUAUUUAUUCAUAGCCUUUGUGGAGGGUAGUUUGGGGAAAAUAACAAAAAGAAGUUAACCCUGACAGCAAAAGAGGGCAUCUUUGGGGGCAGCGAUUGCAAAACACAAAGACACACAGGAAUCAAACUCAUCUCAGAGGAGCAGAAGAAUUAAUAAGAAGAAAAUUUAGUUUGUUUGGUUUAAAAUGGCCACUGUCAAAGCAGGCACAGGGGAGAUGCAAGGCUCUGGUCUGCCGGGACACAAAAUCAGAUGAUUGUUUACAGAGAGGAUGCUUCUCUUGCCUCUGUUGUUUUCCCAUAAUUCAUUUGUUCCCGCUCAGAAAAUAACACUUGCUGAGAAGCAUCUGAAGAAAUCAUCAUGGGAAAACUUUUUUUUUUUCUUUCUUUUUCUGCUUUUCCUUGUGAAUGGUGAAGAUGUGGAUAGAGAAGGUGUAUGCCUGGGCUGUGCAAUUUGUUUCAAUCUCUUUUCCUUUGUCUAUCUUUUUUACUCAACUGUCUGGCUUUUUCUAACCACUUUUCCUGAAAAACACUAAUGGCAAACAAUGAUAUGCAAGGUUAAGUUGUUAAAGAGGAUGAGAGAGAGAAACAAAAUCCGAAAACACAGGGCUUUAUUUAUCUGCUAAACACGUCCUCUUCAUAUCUAUUUUUUGUCGCUUGUCUCUCUUCUUACAUUCACCGUUUCUGAGUGUCUGCUCUGCUUCCUGCUCUGAUCACUCCUACAGCUGUGGGCACAUAAAUUGAUGGUUUCAUCAACAUACCAGCAAUUAACUGGAUUCAUUCUUCAAAAAAUCUCACCGGCAAAAACACUCAACUUUAUAGCAGACCUAUGCUAAAGCACUCUUUGAGUUAGUCUGAUAUGUUUGGGUAUAUGUCUGUGAGUCACGCUCUAUAUAAAGGGCAGAGUGCACCUGUCGGGGAAAGGGAUAUAGUGUGUCUACUGAAAACAUUUUUUUUAUCCCUCUCUUGAAAUAAAUGCACGUCAGGGCUGAUAUAGAGAGCAUCAUGAUAAAAUGCAAGGAGGGCACUGAGCCUACACACACAACAUAUGCACACACACAGAUGAAGAGUGCAUAUACAGAUAUCUCAAAGGGGCUUGUUUGAGUAUUAUGUUGAUUUUUCCUGUAUGGUUGCUUUGUUUGUGGUCAAUGGUUUUACAUCAUUGUGUACUGAGUCAAUAAUUUCACUUCUGCUGUGCAUGCAGGAUACAUAUUUUAUUUAUGUAUGAAUUCACUAGCUGGAGGUUUUGCAGUUAUUUGAAGCUACCGUGAAGUGUUUUAUUCUCAUGAAAAGAGGGCUUUUUCGACUUCCCUUUUUCUUGCACAACAUGUAUGCUGAAUACUCUGCCUGCAAGAAAAUUCGCAGUUGGAUGCUUAUAUGCUGCCUACCUCCAACGCAGCACUUAAUGGCAUUUAAGCUGUUCAACAUAAACGUGCAAUCGCCAGUGUGCACACAAACAUCUAGUUAGCUUUGCUGUAAUAUUCAAUAUCAAUGCAAAAAUACUGAGACUAGGAAAUGGUUCCCAUUUGAAAAGCCUUAAAAGCAGAAUCCACAACCAGUGUUUAGGAAGCCACCAACCAAAACACUAUUAUUUAGCCAUGCAUUCAACGCUCCUUUACCAUCCAUCCUCUAACAAGCAUUGACUUUCAAAUGGGACACGCAUUGACUUCAGAAGGGACUGUCUUUGAGAAGUGUGGCCUCACAUGGGGACAAGUAUCGACUUCAAAGGACACAUGCUUUGAAACACAUUAGAUUCAAAUGGGCUAGAUUCAAUACAGCAUUAGCUUCAAAUGAGUCAUCCUUCAUAGUUUAUUGACUUCAAACGGCGAGAAGCAGAGUGAAAAGCAACACACCCAGUUACUGAUAUGCCAUACCAGUCCCAGAGUUGGGGCAUUCACCUCUGCUAGAAUGAAAAAGGGAGAAAAAUUACUAUAAUUUAAGUUUUUUGAUUCGUAUGGUUUAGCAAACUGAAAUGAAAAGGAAAGAAAACAAGACAUGACAUAAAAGAUAAGAAAAAGUGUUUUGUUCGUGUUUCUCCAAAUAUGUAAAAUACAUUCCCCUAAUGGUGCACAUGAAUACCUAACGGGGAAAAACUUAUUUAAAUCCAGCAAUAUGGAUCACAAAAUACUAAUUUGUAUAGUUUUAUCAGUUGCAAAUUGCAUUGAAGUUUUACGAACAAGAUUUACAAACACUGCACAGUGUUUCCCCUACAUUCAUUCAGCACCGCUGCUGCUGAAUUAUCACAUGAUCAUUAACAUUAAUGCACCGCUAAUGAUUUCUAGUCGCACUGUGUGAGCAGAACAACGCACAACAUUAUUUUCGACUUGUUUUGAGUCAUCAACAAGUGCUGUCGGACCCUCUUCCAUAUAUAUGAAGGGUAAUGUUUGAGCUUAUACGCAGUCUACAUAGCGAGUAGCGCGGGUAACAUAACGUAUAACAGCGACUUGAGAAAAAAAAUGGGUUAACUUCUCACAGAAGUUCAGAUGAAUACUUGAAGACUGUGGAGAGGAUAUUUUUAGAGUUGUUUCCUUAUAGAUUGUUUUGUUGGUUAAAAAUAAACAGUGUUACUCUCAUUAUUGAGUUAGAGUAAAAGGAGGGAAUUUCAGUUUGACAUUAUAGUUCAUCCUCUGACGAUCACAUCCUCACCAAAUACCACAUCUUCAUGAAAAAAACCAUUCAUCACUGUUGAUAUUUAACACAAUAAAUGCCAAUAAAGUAUCUCUUACUUUUUUAAUAUGAAAAAAUACUUAAAUGUGUAUUAGCAUUCCUACAAAUCACUGAGUCUGUAAAGGUGCAGAGGCCUUAUGUUGAGCUAGAUGCUCUUAAUAUGGUAUAAAGAAUUCGAGGUCACCACCUUAAUCCUCCACAGACAUUAAGAAAAAAAGAGCAAAAAUCAUGCAUCAAUUACUGUUGCUGGAUGGCUGAGCUAAGUGCAUGCUAAACCACAGGCUAGCCUGAGGUGGUCCUAAUGUAAUGAUAAUUCACAGACCUGGAGCCUGACUAGGGACUGGAAGACAGCUAUGUGUGUGUAUUAGUAUGUAAAGACACCACCAGAAGGAAACACACACAGAUUUAAAGGAAUAGCUCUCGCAGUACAUGUUGUGUGAUUGUCUAUGUGCGCACAACUUCAUGUGUGUUUGUUGGAGUUCAAUGCCGGCUCAAGUGAAAAUAAAGUGAGAGACUGUUUUCGGGCGAUUAGUCUGACCCCUAGCAUUAGCCAGUUAUUUCCCUUGGUAGCUAAACAUAUUAGACCAUCCUCUGGCCCUUGAGCUGCAAACACAACCACAGACUCACACCAACACUCAUACUUAAACACACACAGUCUUAGGCAUGCAAAAAUACAUGUGUGGCAGGUUUAAAGGGCAGGGGCAAAAAAUCGUUUUGAGAGAUAAAUAAAAGUCAGAAUCAUAUUAAAUUGGAUUCUUAAGGUUAUCAGCUUGCGGGUUAACUCAUCUGCAAACGAAAAAAAAAAAAGUUGUAAGCCCUUGAAUUCUAAUGCCCGUCAUUUUACCAUGAAAAUCCAGCAUUUUAAUCCCAGAUCGGCUAAGUCCAGUGGACUGGAACAAAUAGCAUGCAGAGGCUGACAAGAGGAUGAGGACCAUGUCAGAGAAUCCAUAAGAAUUCUAUAUGCUUGGGGCAGGCCUUGAUGGGAACUGCCGAUUAGCAGUGCACACAAAAAUACAGCAGAUAUCUUGACAAUAUGAUUGGCAUUUGGAUUAAAAAAUAUAUAGAGAGUAAGGAGCUUCGUGUCUAACUUAAAGUGAAGAGAUGGAGAGUUUGGAGAGUGUUGGUGAAGUCCCAACUGCAUAAUUCACCUCCUUGAGCCUCACCUGUUCUCUGAGGCUGAAAUUUAUCUCACUGCGACUGUGGGGGGGAUAAUAUUAGGAACGCUUGAGCUGAGGGUUUUAUCUUAAGGUCAGGUUUUACAUAUCACUUCCACACACACACACACAAGAAUUAUGCAAACACAGUUGUUCAGAGUUUUUCAGAGCUAAACACAAAUGUUGUGUGUUUAAAAGUUUGGCAAAUGUCUGCAGUCUUUGUUCAUGUUCACACAAAUACGUAUACAUGCAUUAGUGUGCACAUGGUGUCUUGAAUGUCCUGAUGGUGCACACUCAAUUACACAUACACUGUUAGUGACAGCACCUAUCUGCCACCCACAGUAAGUGACCUGGGUUAAAUAUGUAAUGACUGCUUGUCCCACACUCAGGAUUAAUGGGCUGUGGAGAAAGGAGAUAAAGGCACAUCAUUACACACACACACACACACACACACACACACACACACACACACACACACACACACACACACACACACACACACACACACACACUCCUUUAUAAAAGAGGAAGAAACAUCAUUAAAACUGGUGGAAUCUUGUGUGAUAUGGUUGAGUUUUUUUUUUUUUUUUCUUAAAGACUCAUUUGCAUAUUUUAUAAAAUAUUUUGUAAGUGAAAGUUCUUUUUCGUAGACUUUGUGUCAAAUGAAGAUGAGAAUACUAACCAUCAUCAAGCACAGGAAAAAAUAUUAAUAUGCAACCAAAUAACUAACUUCUAUGUUGCCCCUUGAAAGAGUAAUUUCUCAAUUCCCGGGGUGAUUUGGUUAAUUUAUUCCAGUCAGCAUUGAAAUGACUAAUCAAAAAUAAUAUAUAUAUUGUGUCCAUUGCCUUCAGUAGCCCAUUUCUCAUUACAAUGUCCUGAUUCCUCAGCAUUUGACACAGACCUCGAUAACCCAGGUAAUGUCUGAGCCGGUUUGGUUUUCGUUGGUAAUGCACUCGUGUUUAUGAGGUAGGCCAUAGUGCUAAGAGUCUUGCCUAAGGACCCACACUGGUUGAUGUAAUCUGCUCUCUACGGAUGUGUGUCAUACGGUAUUCGAACCCCAACUGCCUAGUAGGGAACCAGAUGCUCUACCCACUAAGCUACCCAGCUGCUAGACAAACAGCAGAGAAAAGCCGUUGUGGUAGGUGUCACCAUCCCAAUCGAUACCAACAUCAGGAAGAAGGAACACGAGAAACUGGAGAAGUACCAAGGGCUUAAAGAGGAGCUAGAGAAAGCCUGGAAGGUGAGGGCAACAGUAGUACCUGUGGUCAUCAGACACUCGGGGCAGUAAACCCCAUACUGGAGAAGUGGCUCAAAUAGAUCCCUGGGGAAACAUCGGACAUCUCACUCCAGAAGAGUGCAGUCCUCGGAACAGCAAGGAUACUGCGCAGGACCCUCAAGCUCCCAGUCCUCUGGUAGAGGACCCGAGCUGGAAGAGACACAAGCAGUUCCUUCAUACAGAGAAAAAAGUAAAGAAAAACUCCUCCUUGUACUCAGUGACCCAGUCUGCAUGUUGGGGGUAAAGUUCCAGAUAGAUUUAACCCAGCUGCCACUGGGAUAAAUCUAUCUGUCUAUCCACCAGUGGUGGAAUUGGUUAACUGGUAGUUCAACGGUUUAAUUCCAGGUGCGGCUGUCAACAUGACAAAGUGUCUUUGGGCAAAAAAACCUUUCUCCAAAACUGAUCAAGGUGCUGUGCCAUCAUGUGGGUGGGAUCAGUCAGUAUGGAUGAGUGCUUUACAUAGCAGCCUCUGCCAUCAGUAGAUGAAUGUGGUGUGAAUGGAUGAAAGUGUAAUAUAAAAGUGUUAUGAGAGACCAGUAGACUGGAGAAAGCACCGUCAGCACAAAAUUCAUCAACUUCUACUUACGGUGAAAAAAGUUAUAAUGAAUAGUUAUGCCAAAGUAUCAUCAACAAACUUAAUAUACAGGUAUAUUACUUAGAGGUCAUCCAGGGGUAAGGUUUUUGUCUUGAUCACUGAAAUUUUGAGCCUAAUUAUGCUAAUUUGUAGUCCACCACAAAUACCAUGAGCUCUCAGCAGAUGGUUAAUAUUUUUCACUAACUGCAAGGGGGUGUUAUAGUGCUAGUGUUAGGGAAGAUUUUUUGUUUGUUUGUUUGUUUUGUUUUGUUUUUUGCAAAGAGGCUCAUUUGCCUAAAAAGCAGCAUAAAUUGCUCCACACCCUUUGUGCAUGCAUUUAACCCAUUUCUUUAUGGCCUGAUUCCACAUAGUUAAAGGGGAACAAAGGGGCACAGUCCUUUAGUGAAUUAGGUCCUUCAUGUGUACGUGGAUAUUAAAGUCAUGACCAGCUUUUGUGUAUGUUUUCAAGACAAGGAGUAACAGCCAUUAAGAAACACCUGAAAAAACACAUAAUCUUGCAGUGAUCCCAGUAAAACUAUUUGUAUGAUACAGUAUGAUACCAAGUAUUCAAAGGCCAAAGCUCUGGUAUGUCCAACAAAAUGAAGUUAGUUGGAGUAAUUGUAGCCGUGAGCCUUGCCCACCCUGGAGGGAAUUUUGUAAGAACUGCUCCGAUGAAGGGGUUACGCUAAGAGACCAGUCUCUGCGGUGUAGUUAGUGAGGAACUAAAUAGGAAAGGGGGCACUGCCAGAUAUUCUGGCUACAUGAAAAAUAUUCACAGUGGGCCCCGCCAUUUCAAGACCACAAAAUUUCUAAUGCCUUUUAUGGCACAUUUUAGUCAUGGGUCCUUACAAUUUCCAAUCUUUUCAUGCAGCCUUUGCUGGAGUAAAAGGAACCCAGGUGACUUUUCACUUGAUGACCACUCUGCAUCCGUUCAAAGCAGCUGCCCCAUGUGCUAAAAAUAAAGCCUAAGGUGUAAAAAACUGCAGCUCCUUGAUUGUCCAUUUGAGGUGGGCUCCAAAAGCCAAGGAGAUCCUUCAAAGAGGACAAAUGAAAAUGUCUUCUCAUUGGAAUUACAGAUGUUUACAGCCCGGAAAAGAAAACGCUAUUGACCUCAUUUCUUUAUCCGUGCCAACUGUGUUGCUAAAUAUGAAGUUUAGAAUAUACUACUGCUAAAUAUAACCAGGCAUCAUUGAGGACAAGGCUGUCUUGACUGAUGUUGACGUUUGGCUAAUUGAAAAACUGUCAAAGAGUUGGAGUUGAGGCAGGCUUUAAGUUUCCUAGCAAAUAGCUGCAAUAGCUGAUAGCUGAUAUGGUGACCACCAUGUUAGAGCUUCAAAUGCAUUUCCAGAAACCAAUGAAUGAAGUCACAGAGACUGUCAAUAAGUCUGUUGUGGGCCAAACUACUGGUGAUUUUGGUGAGGUGAGAGGUGAGUUUGGAAACACACAUGCACUAUAAUGUGCUGCAGUCAAGCUCCUCACUCAGUGGUAGACGGUCAACUAUGUGGAGGGAUUUAAAAAAAAAAGGUCUUGAUAGUUUCAAUGCUAGUGAACUGUACUGCACAGACACACACAUUUGAUUUUGUUCAUUGCAUUUAAGUCAUCAUGAUUAGUAAAUUACGUAUCAACCAACAUAAGCUUAAAUAAUAUAAACCUUGUAUGUUAACAAACCACAUAUUAAAUCCAAACACAAUGAAAGAAAAAGGUUUUUAGAAAAGAUUUUGUUGUAUGGGUUGAAAAUGUUUUGAAACGGGAGAAUAUUGACUGAUUACUCAGAUUUUUAAUUCACAGAAAACUGAAAAGUGAUGACAUAGUUUUUAUAAACCCCAGCUGGAGCCUGCAACGAAAUGCCGGGGGAGGUGUUUGGACUGAAAGUUGAACCCAGAACUCGUACAGGGCAGGGGCGGCAAUGCCAGAGCAGGGGAAGUGACAGGAAAUUUUGCAAUUUAAACAGACCACUAAAUUGGAAAUGGUAUGAUCAUGAGGCGAUUUUAGGAACGAUGCAUGCUGAAUGUGAAAUCAGCGCAGCUUGCUUGCAGGCAUUGCUCCUUGCUCUGUUUCAAUAAAUUAACUUUUUAUGCCAACUUUCAGAGUGACACUGUUUUAGUUGGACAUUUGGUCUACUGCUUACAAAGGGUGCAUGGUUUAUACAUUUGGACAAAGUUACUUUCUAAUAUUAAGCAUACAGCCCUUUCUCAUAAUUUUUUUACCACCAGUUUAUCUUCCACAAGGUACCACAUCACAUAAAUUUUUCAUGCUUUUAAGGGUUGAAAAUGGACAAAACAUUUCUUGUAACUGUUUAAAGAAAUGGAUUGUGAAGGGGUGAGCGUAUAUAAAUCCAUAAAUCAACUUCCCACAGCGCUGUUGGUGGUGUAUAAGCUGCUAGAUAGUAUUGAAAACAUAUCACAGACUGGAUGUCAGAUAUUUCAAUCUGCAAGGUACAGAGUCAAAUCUCAAAGACAAACAAGUACAGGCGUAGUACUGCCCAGGUGGUAUUGGUUCCUCCACCUUCCUCCUCCUCUUUUGGGUUCCUGGGACAGCUAAGGGCUGUGCCCAGCAGAUCCGGAACACACUGUGCACCUUAAUCCAUUUCCUGGGGUGUAUUAAUUUACAGUAUUUUCAAGAUCAUCAUAUUUAAUAAGGCAAGAGCAGCUGGUGAAUCUAUGUCCAUCAUGAGAGGACUCUGUGGCAGGGGAACUUAAAUCCCUCUAACAUCGGGAGGCACAGAGAACGUUAUUUAUGGUUCAGAUAUAUGUGUUUCUAUAAUUCUUAUUCCCUUUUGCAAAAUGUCAAAAGUCUUUCUUGAGCUCUCAUUGUAUAUUUUAAAUGCAUGUUUUCUUUGUGUCUUGUAAUGUUGUAAAUGACUUACUGAUUUGUUUUUAAAACUAUCAUGCAAUUUCAAUUUCUACUCUAUUAAAAAUGACAUUUAAUAAAUACAAUUCCCUCGCCUUGCCUUUUUUAGUAUGUAUGUAUCUAGCAUGGCCUGAUCCCAACACAAUGAGCAAGGUGAACAAAACGUUCAGAUCUUUUUAAUUAUUCAUUAUAAAUAAUCAUCUUAUUUUGCAAACAAAGUGUGGUCAGCUGAGCUGUUUAACAUGGGCAGACACUCAGUUCUGAAUAAUUAAACAGCUGCAUGCAUGUCCCUAACCCUUUACGAAGAACGCUUUCAUUAUUCUCUAGACUCUCAUUAGAUGUUAUAAUAUGCUUUUUGUUGUUUUGUUUUGUAGUUUAACGUUCCAUAUAACAUUAAGACAUUCACCGUCAAUUUCUUCUUCUUCUCUUAUAUAACAUCUUGAUUUCAACCCACACGAUCUGCAUAAUGCAUGAAGAUGAUUCAAGUUUCCUGCACACACAUGCAUACACAUAGCAACAUAUGCAUAAGUACAGACACACACACAGAGACAGAUCAAGGUAUCUAUGAUUUCACCUCACAAGCAUGCACAGAGUACGUGAUGCACACACGUACUCGCACACACGUACUCGCACACAUUAUUCUGCACUUUUUAUUUGUCCCCGUAGAUGUGCUGUGUGCAUAAUCUGUUUUAAUAAUACAUAAAAGAAAUAAAGCUACUCAUUUCAUUAUUAACACUUUGGUGCUAGGGGACACCCAUGGUUUAUUCUACAUCAUAAGUUGAAAGGCUGCAUGGACACAUCCGCACUUACUGACUUUCAUAGAGAUCCAUUCACAGAUUGUUACAUUUUGAUGUAUGCAUAUAUAUUCACAAACACUGAUAUGAUGGCUGAUAUGCACAAAGAGCAAGCAAGUGACUGGGUGAGGGUGACUGGAAGGUCUUUCAUUACAUUUGAGUGGUUGUAAAUCAUUCAGGAGAUGAUGACGAUGGUUGUCUCCUUGUACCUUUAGAUCAUGAGAGAGAACAACUGGAGACUGUCAGGAAAUGGAAGGAGCAGCUGUCAAUCAACAGAUUAUUACAAAUCUGAUUUCAUUAUCAGCAUGAUUAAUGACAAAAAUGGUCACACAUAUCUGUUACUUCUCGAGAAAAUCAUGAAAUCGGCAUGUCAGUAAAAGAUCAUGAAAAAGAUAACUACUACUGACAUCUCAAUGUUGGCUAUACUUGGCGCUCAUAAAAGGAGGAGAAGUAUUCUUACAGAGGAUUCUUCUUGUCUCUGCUGCACAAUGAAGUGAUUCAUGUAGCAAGAUCAAAAAGUCUUGGAACUUUAUUUCCUAUUGAAAAAGUGCCAAAGUGAGCCAAAAAGUAAAAGUAGAAAUGAGCAACAAACUUUUCUGUGUCUCAGACUUGUAAGACUGCAGACAGAUUCAUGGUUUCGUCACGUUUAGUUACGUUUUUCAUCUUCACAACAUAAGUGAUUUUUUGGAGAUAUAAAGCAUUACAUUCUCUGAGCAGAAUUGCUGGUCUAGGACUUUUUGAGUUGAGGCAGUUUCACACAAGACAUGGAUAUCUUGGGGAACAUAUAAGUAACAUUGAUAAUACACACUGAAAGGUUUAUAAUGGCCACUUGACCAGAAAACGUCAAAUAAAGCAAUUAAUUCAUUCAGUGCCAAUGACGGAUUUGGAAGGUUUUUUUUUAUUUGCCCUGAAUGCCAUUGAUGGAUUUUGAUGGAUUUUUCAGUUGUUUUGUUUUCCUCCAGAGGGCGCUCCUCCGCAACAUGCGUCCAAUUUUGGAGUUAUUCUGAAUGCAGAAAAGCCGACAAAUACGUCAUGACCAUGUUACAAUGACUGAAAACAAGUACUGAGUGAGUAGUGUGCCAAUUAGCCGAGUUGUGGAGUGUUUUUUUUUUCUCUAUGAGCAGAGCAGGAAAAUGCCAAAGUCAUUAGCCAAGAGCUAAUGGUCUCGGCGCAUCAGCUCCCAUGGGCGCGGUGGUAAUGUCUCUGGAUUCAGUAGAUAUCCUGGUACUGGAACUCCACAUCGUCAGCCGACAAUCAAAGAAACAAUUUUCCAGCUUUACGUUGUGCCGCCAGUGCCGGUACUGGUGAGGGAGAUGGAGCCUGAAUUCAGCGACAGUCCUGGCGAGGAGGACGCAAGCGUUCCAUGUGGUUUACGUCGCGGCGUCAGGUUCUUGACAGCCAAUACAACUCCCAGCCAUCACAAGUGACCUAUCAUAAUCGGAUCUUGAGAGUGAUGAGGAGUGGUGUCCGAGGAGGGAGGACCUUGAUGCCACCGGUAAAGUAGUUUGAAGUGAAAUGAAAAAGACGUAAAAAUAUGUUUUUCCCAGGUUUCUUUUUCCAGAUGGGCAAAGAUAAUAUGACCACGCUGCAUUGAGCAGGCAAUAACUAAACACAGGAGUGGGUUAGAGGCUAACUUGUUUCUGGUGAAAGAAGAGAAUCACUCCUUUCAUUUAGGAUAUUGCACAAGUCUAGUCCAAGCACAAGAUAUUCUGUAGGUCCUGAAAGAUACAGACAUUUCUAUUGCAGUCAAUGGUGGCACUGUGUGAAAAUUGCAUGAAUGAACGUGGCACUGAAUAAGUAAAGUAACUGAAGUUAAACAUUUAUGUGUUUUGUAGAGUAAUUGCAAACACGUCUAAGACAGAAGCUUGCCACUUCAAGUUCCUGGCUCACAUGCCAAAAUGCAUUUUGCAUUUAAAACACAUUGAGAUAUAGUUUGACAAUGUACAAGUCUAAAUUAAAAAGUGAUGCUAGCAUAUCCAGCCAUAUUUUGUCUAGGUGCAGAGUGAGGUUGAGGGCUGAAAGAGGUUGGACUUAGUGACUUGACUAUUAACAGGUAAUUUUAGGGCCUAACCAAUUCCCAGUCCUAUAGAGAGCCAGGAGUAUCUUUAAACACAGGGAAAAAACAAACAAACAUGAAGCAUCAUCAACAAUAUGUUCCAACAUGGACACGAGUUGACUUGCAGUUUACACAAAGAGGGUGCUUCAUGUUAAAAAGAUGACUGUGUUGGGUGGAAAACAACGGCACUUGCACUGCAUGCCAGGGCAUAUUUUGUAGGGUGUGCAAUAACGUCAACUGAUUACAACUAUUACAACAAAAGUUGCAGUUUUUAAUUAAUUUUAUAUUCCUUAAAAGUGUUAAGUUGUACAAUUUCUGAAUGACGCAAUGGAAAACUUUUGAAGGGCUUUUCUUCUCUCUCCUUACACAAUGGUACGGAAAAUAGAGCUGUGUACUUGAUGUCUACAGUUGUCAAGGCUUAUGGGAAAUCACCAUGGUAACGCUGACAAUGUAAAUCCCUUGUUUUUGAAACAUUUGUUGCGAGUGUGUGCGUGUAACACGCAACUUAUCCGCUGGUGUUUAUCACAGCUCAUUACUACGACAACCUAAAAGUUAAAUCCUCUUAUGCCGAUGAGCUGCAUUUAUAUUUACCCAAGUGCUCUUGGGAGAGAAACCUUGCUCAGAACACAAACACACACAUAUACAAGCAUGCACAUACUGAUAGGUUACACUCAGUGUUUAGAUUUAUCCCAAUACUCCAGGGAGAUUCGAACUCAUUAUGCUGUGGAUAUGUUGGCUGGUGAGAUGCUUGAGCUGAGGCUAGCGCUGUGAGGCCACCAGAGAGUUUAGUCUUGGCUCCUUCAACGCCUCUGAUUUACCCAACUCAGGCAGGGACUGACUCCAUCUGAUAGCAGUCUGGCCACCAAGUCAUUUUGGCGCUGCAGAAUCAGACACAUUAGCAUGUUUUAUGCAUAAACACAUAAACAGAGUCACCAAAGCAGAGGGUAGUACACUUACACUCAGCCAUAUACACAAACAUGCAUGCACACACUCAAUCAUUAGAAUGAUAAAAAUGCAGACUCAGGAGAAAUGAGGUUGAGGAGAUGAGAUGAGAUGAGCCGCCUCUGUCAUUGCCCACGGGUGUGUGUCUUAUGACUAGACUCACAAAGAUAUUGAACAGCACACACAGACACACAAACACACACACACAGAGUUUUGGCUCAUAUGAGUGACAAGAUGGCACCUCUCAUCGAAUUGAUAUCAAUAUUUGGCCGGAGAGAUAUUUACACUCCCCUUUAAUCAGGGGGAACAGAUGGCCCAAGGUCUGUGAACUGUGUCCAUCCCUUUAACCGAGCACCAAGUCCCGGCAGUUUCAACAUGCAGAGAGAGAAGAGAAGGCAGGAAACAGGAGUAGGAAAGACAGGAAAAGGAAAGGAAGGACAUGAACAAGGACAGUGGUGCCCCAUUGUUUCACAGCAGACCUGCUGACAAUUAGAACAAGCUAAUUAAGAGGAGCAAAUGCUCUUAAUAUCAAACUAUGCUACAACAUCAUUUAAACAGUCUUUUAAAAGGGGGGUUAAAGAAACAUGUUGUGAUUCAGAUUUUUGUAGUUUAGGCUCAUUAGCAAUGACACCUAUUCAUUCAGUAUAUUGAAAGCCGAGGGAAACAGCAAUACACGUGUGGAGAUGUUGUAAUUCACACACUGUUUGAUGGAGUUGCCUCUUAUAAAGAACAAUGAUCAGCUCUAAUUAACUGUGAAUAUGAUAGCAUCAAAGCUGUUAUUCCCAUCAGUACAGUGAAGGGAGAAAAUAAUUAUCAGAAUUCUUAAUGCUGCAUCCCAGUUACCUUGGAAGUCAGAUGGGAGCUGGGAAUGACGUUACACCCGAGUUGACGGCUUUCCAGUAAACAAGUCGAAAAAACCAAGAUGGACACCUACUGUUGGCUGUUGUUAGCUGUUGUAAACAAUUGUUAGCUGCCAUUAGCCAUUGUCAGCUGUUGUUAGCUAUACCAGUUGCAAACAACGCAUAACACAGUAUUUCACUCAUAAACACCAUAGCACCAUGAUCACAGUUAGACACUGGGCAGUACAACAUACACUCACCGGCCACUUUAUUAGGUACACCUGUCCAACUGCUCGUUAACACUUAAUUUCUAAUCAGCCAAUCACAUGGCGGCAACUUAGUGCAUUUAGGCAUGUAGACAUGGUCAAGACAAUCUCCUGCAGUUCAAACCGAGCAUCAGUAUGGGGAAGAAAGGUGAUUUGAGUGACUUUGAACGUGGCAUGGUUGUUGGUGCCAGAAGGGCCGGUCUGAGUAUUUCAGAAACUGCUGAUCUACUGGGAUUUUCACGCACAACCAUCUCUAGGGUUUACAGAGAAUGGUCCGAAAAAGAAAAAAUAUCCAGUGAGCGGCAGUUCUGUGGGCGGAAAUGCCUUGUUGAUGCCAGAGGUCAGAGGAGAAUGGCCAGACUGGUUCGAGCUGAUAGAAAGGCAACAGUGACUCAAAUAACCACCCGUUACAACCAAGGUAGGCAGAAGAGCAUCUCUGAACGCACAGUAUGUCGAACUUUGAGGCAGAUGGGCUACAGCAGCAGAAGACCACGCCGGGUGCCACUCCUUUCAGCUAAGAACAGGAAACUGAGGCUACAAUUUGCACAAGCUCAUCGAAAUUGGACAAUAGAAGAUUGGAAAAACGUUGCCUGGUCUGAUGAGUCUCGAUUUCUGCUGCGACAUUCGGAUGGUAGGGUCAGAAUUUGGCGUCAACAACAUGAAAGCAUGGAUCCAUCCUGCCUUGUAUCAACGGUUCAGGCUGGUGGUGGUGGUGUCAUGGUGUGGGGAAUAUUUUCUUGGCACUCUUUGGGCCCCUUGGUACCAAUUGAGCAUCGUUGCAACGCCACAGCCUACCUGAGUAUUGUUGCUGACCAUGUCCAUCCCUUUAUGACCACAAUGUACCCAAUUUCUGAUGGCUACUUUCAGCAGGAUAAUGCGCCAUGUCAUAAAGCUGGAAUCAUCUCAGACUGGUUUCUUGAACAUGACAAUGAGUUCACUGUACUCAAAUGGCCUCCACAGUCACCAGAUCUCAAUCCAAUAGAGCAUCUUUGGGAUGUGGUGGAACGGGAGAUUCGCAUCAUGGAUGCGCAGCCGACAAAUCUGCGGCAACUGUGUGAUGCCAUCAUGUCAAUAUGGACCAAGCUCUCUGAGGAAUUCUUCCAGCACCUUGUUGAAUCUAUGCCACGAAGAAUUGAGGCAGUUCUGAAGGCAAAAAGGGGUCCAACCCGUUACAAGCAUAGUGUACCUAAUAAAGUGGCCGGUGAGUGUAUAGCACUAAUGUAAUUUCACAAAAAAAAAAAAACAAACAGAAGUGCUAAUAAAUAAUACAUUACAAGAGCUUUCACUGUUACUCUUUACUGCUGAUGCACUGCGCUGCCAUCUUGGUUGUCGUCAAGACGGGGUUGGUGAGGAUCCUACAACUUUGGAAAUCUGACUUCAGGGGGGCGUUCCAGAUUAAUUUCCAACUCGGAGCUCGUUAAUUCCGACUUCCGAGUACAACUGAAACGCAGCAUAAAUGCUAGGAUUUACCAAAAACUUAAUCUCUAAUAAAUCCAAGAAACACUAUGUUUUGCUUAUGUGUAAAACCUUGCGUCAUAAUUAAAGGCAGCAAACCAGUUCAAACCAAAAUUUUGCCAUCUCCAUCUCUUUCAUUUGUUUUUGUGGCCUUGAGAUCCUUGCAGUGUGGUCUCAGGCAAUAUCAAGUACAACAGGCUCAGCAGGAUUAGAAGUCAUCUGAAUAUUUAACAGAGGGGUCCUAAGAUUCUGUUUUGUGUCUGUGUUGGGUUACUCUGUCUUUUACGUAUAGGCUAUAUAUGAAAGCUUUUUUGGGGGGAUGUAAAGCAUUUAUUUAUGCGUAAAGUUUCAAACACAAAACCAAAAUAUCAAAGUUUUGCGUACAGCCAUUUGACAGCGAUGGUACUCCAUAAUUUUCACACAAAACAGUGAUGUCCAGAGGUGCUAUACUCCCAUCUUUAAAAUGACACUAAUCAUGGCAAAGCAUAAACAACCAAAAAAGUAAAAAUCAAACAAACAGAAAAAUAAAGUUGUCUGAGCCAGUCACUAUAAAAACAAGUGUGUACAGAGCAGUGAAUCUGAGAUAUCAUCAAUUAAAGUUAUUACUCUUUAAUGGAUUUACUUGACCAGCAUACUACUGAGUUCCUUACCAGUGUUAGAAAAUGAUUAGCCAGCAUGACUACUGUUUUAUUUCGGUUAAAAGCACUCAAAAGACUUAUAAGUUUGUUGUCACACUACAAAUUACAUUACAAUCACAAGUAAUAGUUCAUAACCCAUGGUUUGGUGUUCUCUUUUUUUUUUUCUGAUUUCUUUGACCUAUUUUCUUUCUCUUUGUACUCUGUGUUGUUAGUUUUCUGUGAAAUGAUUCUGCAAGUCUGUUUUUCACAGGAAGUCAUGCCAUUAUCCAUCUGUCUUGCUCACUUCAGUUAUAGAACGAAAACAGAAAUGAGCCCACAUAUUACGGUAUUAAUCUUGACUUCAAAUCUGCUCUCUCUCUCUUUCUGAAUGUAAGUGUGAUUGUGUAUGCGUGUGUUUGUGUGCGUAUACAUGUGUAUUUGUGUGUAGUCUGCCCCCAGGAGUUCAAGCUGAAAGAAGAAUUUCAUGUUUCCAUCCUUUUUUAAAGCACCCCGAACAAUUUGGGUAGACGGUUGCUUUGAGGUAUUUGCUGCUCCACUCACACUCACAAACCAGACCAGACUGAUUUCCAGGAUCCGCACAUGGAAACGAGCACACACCAGCGCAUACACACUCAUACAUUCAAAGCACAAAUACUCACACAUAGAUACAAACACACACUAAUCCCAGCUUGGGUGUUGAAAUUGCGGUGAUACAUUUCUAUAGAAUUGCACUAGAAGGCAAAAAUUGCAUAAAUGCAACUUGGGAGAAAACCUUUUCACCGUUCCGGGGAUUAAAUCUUCCUUCUAAGCCCAGAUCAAAUAUCUGAUUGUUCAGCCUGCCGCUGCUUCAAGAUGAAGCAAAUUCACACACAUGCACACACACACACUGACACACACACUUCGAUGAUAUAGAUUAAUCCAUUUCGUUUUUUGCCAAGUAUCCCAUAUUUUCAACUUCCAUCGCAAUAUAUAUUUCAUCUGUUCACAAAAUCCAUGAUCAUUUCCCUCGCUGCUCCAAGACGCUUUAAUUGCACAAUCUUCAAUUAAACAUAAGCCAAUAUCCCUGAACAAAAUCCUCUUUGCUUGGUUUAAUACAGGUAUCUUAAUGCCCAUACAGAGGAGGGGGUGGUGAAAAAAAGAGGAUUUUAUGAGGCAGAGAAGAUCAGGGUUAGUUCUCAUAAAAAAAACUCAUGGAUUUACUACUGUCUCUUUAUUUGUCUUUCUCGGAGCCUUUCUCGUUAUCCCUACUUUUGUCACUCUUUAUUUGUUUGUCUUUGCUUGUUAUUAUUUUCUUUUUUUAAAUCCCUAACUCAUCUUUUUCUUGCCUGUGCUGUUUUUUUUCUGCGCUACCAACACAAUAUUUGGCACAGAAUAAUGAGCAUGAGCUUCAUCUACAUCAUUUGACCAAGUUGUACCAGAAACAUUGAAACUAUACCAGACUCUUUAUGAGUUUGUGAGUCAAACUCAUACACAGAGAGGCAAAGAAAAGAGGGAUAAAAAGAGAAAGUUGGUAGAUGAAUGUGGACUUCGUAGGACCUUACUUUAUUACUGGUAGAACAAAUGUGUUGCUUAUAUCUAAAUACCCCUCCAGUGUCUUCUAAAAGAACUGUGGGACUUGAAGCCAGUGGUUUAGAUGUCUUUGUCUACCAUGUGGAGAAAACAUUUCUCAAUAAGAGGAUACCAGCUGCUUACUUAAGGCUGCAGGCUUCAAUGCUCAGACAUUAAAUUAGAAGCACAAAACGCCAAAUGGAAGUGUGUUCAGCUCUCAUUGCUUUUGUGUUUGUUUUAAUGCAUAAUGACACAACCCAUAGUUUGCACAACAUAUAUAAUGCCUUUAAAAAUAUACUGUGGUAGCUGUUGAAGGGAAAGACUGAGUCAGUUUGCCAAAUAAGCUUGGAUAAUAAACGGUACAGCCAUUAUUUUGUUUGCUAGAGAAUCUGACGCUUAAAAUUGUUUGAAAACUCAGUAUUUUAGUGACUUGCGUUUUAUAGACUCAGUUUCUCAGUGUGCUGCAGGCAGAAAAAUGUGUGCUGUAACAAUAGUUCAAAAAUGAACUUUGACUUCAGUAGCUACAUUUGUUGAUGUCUGCUAUACUGUGUAUAAUGUAACUUUAAUGAACAGGGUUAAUUGUUGGUCACCAGCUAAGUUUGUGUUUCUUUUUCCUAGUCUCUGGCUACACAAAGAUGAGGGGUUAACUACUCUGUUUAUGUUCUGAUUUGAGGAGAUUUUUUAACUUAUUAUUCUAAAAUUAUCAAUCAUGAUAACAAUUUUCAGGUUCUGUCAAAUGCCUGAAAGAAAUGUGCCAAAUAGACAAUGUUGGUUUGACACUAAAGGUUUUCAUUACAAUACAGUGCUGUGUGUCAUUCACCCUGGGUUACAUUUCAAUAAAAGGCAUAACCAAUAACACUAUGAAACCCUGAUUGUUUGUUCUGCAGGUUGAUUGAAAUUCACAUCUUUCAUAAUAUUUUGUCGCUGUAUUAGACCGUGACAUGAUGCAAGGCAUGUACAGACUACGCCAUGUUUUUAUAUUUUGACAAAUAAAGUCUGCAGGUAUAAGCCUGAUCAAGCAUGCACACACACACAAUGUAAAUAUGACAUAUAAUGCCUACACACCAGCAUGAAAGAAAACAAAUAUUUUUCCACAUAUAGUAUGUACAUAUACAGGCACAUAAAUACACCUUAACAGCCAUGAUACACAGCACCAACAGGGGUGUAACAAGAUGGUGAUUGGCAGGGAACUGAGUGUCUUGCUGAGAGAAAUAAUGAACAGGUGCCCAAAGCACAGGCCUCAAUUAAUGUGUGUUUGCUUGAGUGUUUCAGCUGGGAGCAUGCAUUCACUGAGAUUGCCUGUCUGCACAUUUGUGCUCUGUGUAUUUGCUUGUAAAGUCUGGGAGAGUACAGCCUUGUUGUUGACAAUGAGAGAGGUGACCUAAACGUCCCAUUCAUACUCCAAACAUCAUUAGCAUGCAGCCAAAACAAAGGUGAAGAGACUAUAAAGGCUGUCAGGGAGUCUGAAUUAACAACCAGGGUGACAUAGUUGUCACUUCGUGGAGGUAAGAUUGACAGCCUUUGAUUACAUUAUUAUGCAUCAAUCAUGUAUUCAUCACCAUGCACAAGGUAUGCCAACAAGUAUAGGGAAAUGGGUUUUCGCAAAGAGACUUACAAAUAAAAUAUAAUCUGGCACAAAACACAAAUGGCUAAAAAAAAAAAGAGUCCAAGGACAAUUUCACACCUGUAGCUCAUUAGUGCAUCCUUGAAUCACAGACUGAGGCCCCGAUUAUAUGUUCCUGGUUAUUUUUAAAAACAGAAACAUCAACCAUCAUUUGCACCCUUCCUUUACACGUAAACUGAGAAUUCGCCCCUGAAAAUGGAGCUUUUGGAAAACUCUGUUUGCAUGUAAACAGAGAAAAACAGAGAUUUGGGUAGCCGACGGCAGGUUGUGCGCCUGAAAGAAGUAAGUGAUGUUAUUGUUGUUGCUGCUAUGCGGGAUUAUGAUUGGCUAACAUGGGCUUGAGCUUCUCGCUACACUGCCACCUAUAGGUUUGGCAUGCUCCUGAUGCCAUAUAUACACGGGUUAGUAUAAACGAAAACUUUUCUGAAAACACAGUGGUGCACACAGUUUUUUUGUAAACGGAGAGGGCGAAAUGUCUGUUAAUGAGAAUGGCCAGGCACGUGUAAAUGUAGUCUGAAUGUCACUUUGUUUCAAAGAAACCUAAGAUUUAAUUUGUGUUCACACGAGAAAAUUUAUAAGUUAACCAAAGCAUGUGGUAAAUGAAUACAUUAGAGAAAGUGUACGACUUUGUUACUUGGACCUGAGACAAUAAAUAAAUCAAUAAAUAAAUAAAUCUAAGCCACAAAUAAAUAUUAAAUCAACACUCAAAGACUGGCACAAAGACUCAUGUCUUAUGAAGUAACUUUAAUUUGUAGUUCAAAAUAUCAAUAAUAUUUUGAAUUGGCACAUACUGUAUACACACUUAAUAUUUUAGGAAAAAUAUGUUUAAGCCAUAAUUUCGAUUUACAUUUUUUAUCUGCCUUUUUGUGUCUCCUGAAAUUAGACCCAUAAAUCUGUUCAGUUUGCAUUUGAUUCUACCUGUAAUCUGACGAUGAUCACAACUGUCAAGAGGAAAAUGUAUGUUUAUAACAUCAGGUAUUAAAAUGAUCAAAAUUAAUACGAUAACUCUAUCAAAUUACUUCAUGUACAAACAGCUGCACUUAACUAAAACUACAGAAGAAGUUACAUCAGGGUUUUUCCUGCGUUCAAAAUUGCGUGGCGGCCGCCUCCACCUAAUUUUGUGCCGCCCCCAGCCAGAGCGAUUGAUUUCGCUCAACACAGCGUAAAGCUCCAGCUGUGUUGAUUGAGCGAUUGAUGUCCCGAUGCAGCAGCAACGUAUUUUAACUGUAGUUGCAGCGUUGCGCCACUAUAGGGGCGCUAUAUCAACAGCAGUGCACCGGAAAGACCUGAAGCAUCUACCGAAGAAGAAACGGAUCGAAUCAUGUUUUUUCAAGUGUUUUUCCCGCUAGUUGGUGCUAUCGGCGUCCUGAUUUUCCCUGGCGGAUGGUACAAACAGGUAAAUACUGCUUCUCUUUUUUGCAUCCAAGCAUGUCGUGUUUAUUUUAAAAAAAAGUUUACUCCGUUUUUAGCGUUGCAGUUAUGACAGGCAAAAUCAGCCAGUACUUUAAAAAGCGACCUCGCGAGGAGGAAAGUCAAGAGUCCAGGUGAAACACAGUAGAGAUAAAAACGUAACAGGCAGUUAAAAUGCUAUAAUUCAUGGUGGAGACAACGUGGAAAUUUGUGUCAGGUCUGAAAGUACUUCGCAAGGGACUGGUGAUCGCGAGGGUCAGAAUGCAGGACAGGACGAGUCGGCGAGGCGAGGGUAAUUAAUUAAUUAGUUUCCAAUUAGGAGCAUAACAACGCAAAGCCGACGUGUACGUGGUUUUUAUUCCUCUUUCCAGAUCUUCUCAAAAACACAGAGCCAGUGGCUUUGACAAGCAGUGGCUCAAUCAAUUUACCUGGCUCAGGCAUACUGAGGAAGGCAUGCACUGCUAUUUAUGCCAAAAGCACUGUGCCCCAACACAGCAGGCAAUUGCUGCGUCCUUAGUGAGACAGCCAUCAACCAACUACAGGCUGGACACAUUAAAAAGACAUGAGGUGACAGCCAUUCACAAAGCAGCAGAAGAGAAGGAGAAAUAUAUUAAAGAUGGUAGUACCUAAAAAAACUCAACUAAUAAAGUUACAAAAAAUAAAUAACAUAGUUUAGAUAGUUUAAGAAAUAAUUGGUUGUCGUUUUUUUUUAGGGAGGACACUGCAGCGUAUACAUAUAUAUGAUGGAAAACACUAUCACUCUUCAUGUCUGUAUCAGAAUAAAAACAAAAAUACUUAAUGCAUGAUGAAUUGUUUUGUUUAAGGUGAAGACACCUCUGCGGAACAGACUGAAGGAGAGGCACUUGGAUGUCUGUUGUAAGGUGGCCGUUGAUGGACCAGACCAGGAGGCCUUGGACUACAAGGAGUGCAUGAGGAGGUUCUACAGAAUGAAAAAGAGGAGGCUGAAAUGUUCUGUCUGGUUGCGAGAUGUGUGGAUGAAGUGUACUUUCAAUUUAAAGUUGCCAGCUGAUUUGUGUAUGUAUAUAGUUUUAAUAAAUGAAUGCUUUAACAUGAUAAUGGUCACACUCUUUUUUGAACUCUUAACUUAAAGUAUGUUGCCUGUAAAAGUAAGUGAAUCGGUUGAAUUUACAAAUACAUGCACGUCGUGGCGCACGGUCAGGAUGGUGCCACCUCUGCCUCAAUUUGAGCCAGGAAAAACCCUGUACAUACAACGGUAUAGAUCCCAAAACAACCCAUUCACUUACAAGAGGGACAAUACGGUAUGUGAGCUCUACAGCACAGUGUGACUAUCAGGGAAAAGCAAAAGUAGUGGAGGGUGUGUGUUUUGAUCUCAGAGCAUCUCACUUCUCUAGAAGAAAAGAACAUAUAUUGACAGGGAAAGGGGGAAAAGAGCCCAGUUGGUUCUCAGGAUCCUUGAGGUAUGCCUGUGGUUUUUAACCCAUAACUGCUGACAGUAGCUGGCUUUGUCCAGAAAAUGCAAUUCUUCCUGCUUUUAGAUGAGAUGUAACUGCGCCAAGGUCUGGACAAAAGUGAACCCAACUCCUCCGGUGGUUACAGUUUGGUUGUGUGGUCUGCUCCACAGUUUGAUUGACAGCUUUCACACCAUUGCAAAUGAACUGCAAUAACUUGACAAAAAGACUGAGCCAAACAUUUUCAGCAGAGUCACAUCCACUGUGUCUCUACUUCUCCCCCUUCACCUCUUCCUCUCAACACACUCUUCACACACUUUCUGCUCUAUUAAUCACUUAAAUCCUAAUGUCACUGAACUACUGGUGGACUGGCAAAACGAGCUAAAUUUCUUUGGCAACCAACACAUUACAAAUUCUUGUUGGCACCGAUGCCCAGGUUCUAAAAGAGAAAUAGGGUGUGGGCAAAUAUUUCAUAUUAUUCAUGGCGACUGCUUGUUCAAGCAAAAGCCUCUGAGAAAUACUGUCUAGUAUGAGUAGCCCGUCUGUUUAUGUACACAUUAGUGUUUUCUGUGCUUCUACAGAAGGCAUACAAGGUCACCUGUGGCUUUAUGAUUUGCUCUGUCUGUAUCUCUAUCAUAAUGAAUUUUUAACACAAAUCCAGCACUCACCAGAGAUGGGAUCUGUAGACAGAAAAAAGGACUCAUGGCUGGCUGUAAAUUAUAAAUCAGAGAUGUCCAGAGACUAAGGACAGAGACGCGGGUUUGUGAGGCACCAUAUUACAUUUCGUAAUUACCUCUUUUAUUAUUUAUAUUAGGUGCAAUCAAAGACUGCGCACACACACAUUUGGAGGAAAUGCAACAUGGGGGCUGUUUUGAAGUACUUAGCAAAAAGGACAAAUUGGGGUGAGGGUUUUGAAAAUGUUUCGGAAACACACAGACACGCACGCAUAGGCUCCCUAGGUCUCCGAAGUCUGAUGUUGAACUAACUUGACAGUGGAAGUAAAUUAAAGAGGACUUAGAAAUGGUUUUGGAAAAAGUUGGUCCCGGGUCUUUAUUUCAUUACUUUCCCUUUCAAUAAUCUUGAUAACCCAUAAGAAUUCAAAUUACUCUUUUUUCUACUUUACUUUUCCAUUUUGGAUCUGAGGAUUUGGUUCUGGUGUUGAAAUGUGUGUUCAAUAUUGAGUACAUUCAUUGCCAACCCAGUCUUUUUGGUCUAGUUUAACUUUUGUGGUUUGGAUUUGUUUCUAAACAGAACUAUUUUACCAACAUUAUUGAGUCAGUUUGAAAUAAAAAAGCUUGUUUUUCUUUGCUUUAACUCAAGAGAUGUCAUUUCGACAUAUAAGGGCCAACAUGUGUCAAGGCAGCAUAUAUACUGUGUCAGCUCUCAACAUUACACUCAGAGUUUUGACACCGAAAGCACAAAGAGAGCACAAAUCUGUAUGCAACUCAGCAGUUAAAUCCAGUCAUUACACUUUAUGAUACAAUUUCAAUCAAUGAGUUGUACAACAUAAAAUGUCUUUCACAGCUAUGGCAACAGGAGAGUUGUGUCCCUAUAAGAACCCUACUAACAGUAUGAGGUGAUAGAAAACUUAAAUCACCAGCAUAAUGGCAGUGUGUUGGCACAGACUUAGUGUGAACUUUUGAUUAAAAGCUUGAAAGUUCAGGUCACUGUAUUUUCUUACCAGACACAUGGAGACUAUGAGAAAUCCGGAUUUCCCAGAUACAUGAGUCCAUGAAUAGAUAAAGACCAUAGAGUGUUAAGGAGGGGGGGGUGUACUUUGGUUUGAACAGGACAGGUAAAGCACUUAAGUAAUGAUUAAGAAAAAAAACCUCUCUGGGCUUUAAGUCCUCAAAAGGAUAAAAUAGUAAAAAAAGAACAUGAAGGUUCUCAUUUAUUGCAAAUCUUACAACCUCAAGAACUAUCUAAGAAGAUACAUCUCAAUGAACUGCAUUUAACUUGACACACUUUUGUGGAAUGAAUAAUAUAUUUAAUAUUUGAACACUCAGAAUAAAAGGCAGGAGGAUAAAAUAGAUAGAUUAAUAAAUAAAAUCUUCCUGCAUCAGUGUUCCAGUUUGAACUUAAUCUGUUGUUUUUGACACACAAGUGACCAUAUCUGGAUAACAGUGCAGUUACUGAAGUUAAACUUUUACAGCAACUCUAUUUUUAACCAGUUAUCUUGUUGUAGAAGGUUGAGAAGGAUUACCCUCACCUUCAUCAACUUCAAAAAUAAAUCAGACCAUCAGCAACAAGGUUGAGAGAUUCUCACUUGUAAUUUUUGAUGUCUGGAACCACCAAGAGGGAAGCUGUCAGACCAGAUGAUUGAUGGCAGGCUGAGAAACAAGCUUUUUUUAAGAUUAUUUUUCAUGACAAAUACUCAUAGUGAGUGAUACCAGAAUGAGGUUGUUGUCCAAAAACACAACUUUCACUCUAACAGGACAAGAUAUAAGAGAUAACACCAAGUCUGACGCUGUUACGUUCCCUGAAAAUAAGGGAUGGAGGGAAAAUAAAAAUUAACCAAGAAAAAAACAAACAGUUCUCUACUUCUUAGCCACUACUACUUCUACUUCUUAUCCAAUUCUCUACUUCAAUGCACUUUGUUGGUGGUCUUUGUGAACAACUCAGUGUGACGAUAUAUGUUUACCAUUUUAAUAUGUGCACCAUUGCCACCAUUCUCUUUUUUUAAUGGUGAAAAUAGCAACCAAAGGCACUGUUAUGCCUUGGCUUAUAAAUUAACUUACUGCUCUGCUGCCUGCAUUGAUCCACAAAUUCAAGAAAUGGGAAUGGGGGGAAAGGAGGCAAAACAUGGGGGAAAUGUGGUGAUAUUGUAGGUUUUACUGAUGCAGGUGAAGCCAAGUCACAACAUUACUUUCAGAUCUACAGUAUAGCGUCAGUAUCUUUACUCUGAUAUCUGCUGUCCUGUCAUUUUCAACUUUUUUAAUGAUUUAAAUAACAUUUUAAUAUUGUAUUGAAUUUAAGUUGAUAAAUGCUUCCUCUGUUCCAUGUUCUUUAGGGGACUAAACCAAACUGGGACCUAACUAAGAAAAUGGGAAGAACGAGUAAAAGGCUGGUGAGCACCGGGUCAGGUACCUACUGUGCACUGAGGUCUUGGGGACCUAUCAAGUCUUGGAGACUUGGGCUGAGUGCUGGGGAAAUCCGGGUCUGAAAACUUGCAUCUUAUUUGUAACCUUGUCAAACUUAUUUAUCUCUUCGAAAAAAUGGUUUUCAUAAAAA
Molecule: non-coding RNA, 45035 nt
Organism: Xyrichtys novacula (pearly razorfish)
Lineage: Eukaryota; Metazoa; Chordata; Actinopteri; Labriformes; Labridae
Source: the annotation of a GenBank genome assembly